Molecule: ribosomal RNA, 952 nt
Filed under: Parelaphostrongylus odocoilei
Lineage: Eukaryota; Metazoa; Nematoda; Chromadorea; Rhabditida; Metastrongylidae
Description: eukaryotic LSU rRNA
Rfam family: Eukaryotic large subunit ribosomal RNA
Source: RNAcentral
CAAAGUAACGGCGAGUGAACUGGGAUGAGCCCAACGCUGAAUCUUUCGAUGUUAAAUCGUAAAGAAAUGUAGCGUAUAGGUAUGAUUGUCGAUAUGUUUAGCAUGUCCAAAGUUCCUUUGAUAGGGGCCAAUGUCCAGAGAGGGUGCGAGACCUGUGCGGAUAGUUGAACAUAUCGUAUCGAUUAUACCUUGGAGUCGGGUUGCUUGAAAGUGCAGCCUUAAGUGGGUGAUAAACUUCAUCUAAGGCUAAAUACGGACGCGAAUUCGAUAGCAAACAAGUACUGUGAAGGAAAGUUGCAAAGAACUUUGAAGAGAGAGUUCAAGAGAACGUGAAAUCGUUGAAGUUGAAUCGGAGAGAGUUGACGUAGUUUAAUGGCUAAGUAUGACAAAAAUCGUAUUCAUUUCUCUUUUUCGGUGAUGAAUAUGAUCAAGUAAUAUGUAUGCCAUUGAUAACUGUACUGACAGCAUCGACUACACAUUUCGAACUUGAUUGACAUGUUGCCCAUUUUAUUCGCAUAGAAUGGUGUCUUGUGUCUUGUCAUGGUAAGAUUUGUUUUAUGUUGAUGUCGAUAUUAAUUUAUUGAUAAUUAUGUCAGUAUAAAAGUCAAUCACCUCUCCGACCCGUCUUGAAACACGGACCGAGGAGUGUAACUUGUACGCGAGUCAAUAGGUGGAAAAACCUAAAGGCGAAAUGAAAGUAAAGGCACGGUUAACCGGUUGACAUGGGAAAUGUCUCUAUAUGAUGAUGCACAAAACACAAAAGAGACAUCACACCAUGGCCCUGUCUUGUCUGCAUGCAGAUGGGCAGCGGUAGAGCGUACAGGUUGCGACCCGAAAGAUGGUGAACUAUGCCUGAGCAGGACGAAGUCAGAGGAAACUCUGAUGGAAGUCCGUAUCGGUUCUGACGUGCAAAUCGAUCGAUAGACUUGGGUAUAGGGGCGAAAGACUAAUC